This 497-nucleotide ribosomal RNA is filed under the name uncultured bacterium. Its description in RNAcentral is "partial 16S ribosomal RNA". It matches the Rfam family "Bacterial small subunit ribosomal RNA", at positions 28 to 507 of the family's 1533-position model. The record is from RNAcentral.
GAUGAACGCUGGCGGCGUGCCUAAUACAUGCAAGUCGAGCGAACAGAUAAGGAGAUUGCUCCUUUGACGUUAGCGGCGGACGGGUGAGUAACACGUGGGUAACCUACCUAUAAGACUGGGAUAACUUCGGGAAACCGGAGCUAAUACCGGAUAACAUUUGGAACCGCAUGGUUCUAAAGUGAAAGAUGGUUUUGCUAUCACUUAUAGAUGGACCCGCGCCGGAUUAGCUAGUUGGUAAGGUAACGGCUUACCAAGGCGACGAUACGUAGCCGACCUGAGAGGGUGAUCGGCCACACUGGAACUGAGACACGGUCCAGACUCCUACGGGAGGCAGCAGUAGGGAAUCUUCCGCAAUGGGCGAAAGCCUGACGGAGCAACGCCGCGUGAGUGAUGAAGGGUUUCGGCUCGUAAAACUCUGUUAUUAGGGAAGAACAAAUGUGUAAGUAACUGUGCACGUCUUGACGGUACCUAAUCAGAAAGCCACGGCUAACUACGUG